RNAcentral lists this microRNA precursor (176 nucleotides) under Brassica oleracea var. oleracea. RNAcentral's name for it is "MIR9563 microRNA precursor family". It matches the Rfam family "MIR9563 microRNA precursor family". Lineage: Eukaryota; Viridiplantae; Streptophyta; Magnoliopsida; Brassicales; Brassicaceae. The record is from Rfam by way of RNAcentral.
GUAAUAUAAGAUACGGUCUCUUAGCUUUUAACUAAAAAAACUAAGAGACGUCUCUUAAAUAAGAGAUAUAAGAGCAUGUUUAUUGUAGGUUUCUUAGGUUAGGUCUCUUAGCGUAAUAUAAGAUACGGUCUCUUAGCUUUUUUAGUUAAAAGGUAAGAGACAAUAUCUUAUAUUAC